UGAGUAAUGUCUGGGAAACUGCCUGAUGGAGGGGGAUAACUACUGGAAACGGUAGCUAAUACCGCAUAACGUCGCAAGACCAAAGAGGGGGACCUUCGGGCCUCUUGCCAUCAGAUGUGCCCAGAUGGGAUUAGCUAGUAGGUGGGGUAAUGGCUCACUUAGGCGACGAUCCCUAGCUGGUCUGAGAGGAUGACCAGCCACACUGGAACUGAGACACGGUCCAGACUCCUACGGGAGGCAGCAGUGGGGAAUAUUGCACAAUGGGCGCAAGCCUGAUGCAGCCAUGCCGCGUGUGUGAAGAAGGCCUUCGGGUUGUAAAGCACUUUCAGCGAGGAGGAAGGUGGUGAGCUUAAUACGCUCAUCAAUUGACGUUACUCGCAGAAGAAGCACCGGCUAACUCCGUGCCAGCAGCCGCGGUAAUACGGAGGGUGCAAGCGUUAAUCGGAAUUACUGGGCGUAAAGCGCACGCAGGCGGUUUGUUAAAGUCAGAUGUGAAAUCCCCGGG
Molecule: ribosomal RNA, 505 nt
Filed under: uncultured bacterium
Lineage: Bacteria
Description: bacterial SSU rRNA
Rfam family: Bacterial small subunit ribosomal RNA
Source: RNAcentral